GGUUCAGCUACUGCGACAUGGCGGGGGAGAGCGACCUUGGCUGCCAUGUGAUGAUGACAAAUCCUUUGCUAUGCAUCAAAUGAGACCAAUUUCGGCCUCUCUUAUAUCUCAAUCUUCUAGUGGCGGUAACUCCAAAUGGGAUCGAGCUAUUCCAAUGGAUCUUGGACCGACAUUACAGUAUCCUCCACGUGCUGGUCAAGUUGUACCAUUUGGGCACCAAACUCCAUCAAAUAGGUUUAAAGAUACGAAUCCUGGUCCUUCUGCCAUAUCACGAACAGCUGCUGAUGAAGGAUCUAGGACUGGAAUUAAAGGGUCUGGAAUUUUGAGUUCUAUCAAUGCAACUGGAGGUGUUUCUGAGAGACAACCUUCGGGAGUGCUCAUACGUACUGAUAAACAGAAGUCCACUCUUCACAUUUCGGAGCCAGAAUUGUCUGCUACACCCAGGUCAAUUCAUGAUACAAGUGAUUUUUCUAAUUUUCUUACCUGAGCUAUCUGCGUGGUUGUCUGAAAGAUUUGAGUUUAAUUUGUCUUUUCUUAAUGACAGUCGACAAAGAAUAGAAUCGGCCAGUCGCCAAAUGACUAUAUUUUAUGGCGGUCAAGCCCAUGUUUUUGACAAAGUUCACCCCGAUAAGGUCUGCUUUCUGCACUUUUUUGAUCAACCGUUUGACUGAUACAUACCUGAUCAACUGCUUUUUGUACUAUUAACUUAAACAGAAGUAUUUUCAUGUUUAUUUGACCUGAUUAGUACGCGCAGAAAAAAUGCAUCCUUCAGUAUUCCCCGAUCCACUGUUAGAGAAUCUUUAUUAUCAAACGUAAUUUUUACUAUGCUUAUGAGUGUUAUGCUAAUUCUGGAAGUUAUUUGUAUUAUUACCUCGAAGUGGAGGUUGGAUGUCAUUAUCAAGGAAGCCUUUGGGGUUUAUGAUUCAAGGAGUUUGUGCUUUUUACUGUUGGAAUUUGGACAGGAAGGGUAGUGAAGCUCCAGAAGAACAUGUGUAUUGACGAAAGCUUACCUUAAUGGUAGCUGGAAGCCAAGAGACUUUGAUUAUGGUCACUGAGCUUAAGAUCUAAAGGACUAUUUAGAAAAUUUUCUUUGAAGUUUUCUUCAAAAAACUUCCUUAUGCUGUAGGACCCAGGGUUGUGGGGAGCAAGAAUGGUUUGCAACAAAUAGUCAAGUUUUCAAAAAUUUGGCGAGAUGUUCUCUUAGAAACAUUUAGAAGUUUAUAGCUACGGGAUUUUCUUCUUUUAUUGUGUUCACAAUGUGGAGUGUGGGUGCAAGAGAUAUGAUUUCUUUGGGAGUAAGGUUGAUUAGUUUUUGCUCCCUUUCUUUUCUUAAAAACGUGCUAUGGAUUUUGUUUGUUCACCCUUCUGAAAAUGGAAAUGUUUCAAAUUUCACAAGUAUUUUUUUCAUUAUUUUCUGUAUUGCUGUAAUCUCACUUUCAGCUUUUUGUUGUUUUAUGCUUGUACCUGUCUACUUUCUGAGCCCUUUCAUUUCGGCAGCUCUUUCGAUAAAUUGGGUGGUUGUGAUUGGUUUUGUAUGAAGUCAUUGAUGGAGAUAGUCAUGUAUGGGUUAAUUCCGAAUUACUUAGACUGAAAUUGCUAUAUAUGCACCGGCCUUUUAUGUCUUGAUUCCCCAUUGUUGAAUUGUCGAGAAUUUUAAUGCUUACUGGAUGGUACUUGAAGAUUAACUCGUGGUUUGAUAGUUUUUUGAUCAAUUAUGCUAGAAAGACAUGUUGGCAGUCAUUUGGAGGGGAUACCAUUUUAUCGAUCAAGAGGCGAGUUUCCAGGACCCGAUACAAGUAGGUUUGCAGGAACUAAACGAAGUAACUCUGACUCUUUUAUGGUGUCAUCAAAGGAGAAAUUUCCGCAAGUGCGACCAGAAUCACUUGAGAGCUCACAUUUGAUGAAGGUUCGUUCUGUUUCCUUCAUGGCAUGUUAUUUUAGAAUAGGUAAAGGGAUGAGGUCUUAUGCUGGUUUAAAUCUCAUUCCUGAAGUGCAUGUUUUGAAAAUAUUAGACUCCACUAAACAAUACAAUUUACAAGAUAUUAGCUUCUUUUUUUUCUUAUUAAUACAAUCUAGUGCUGUCUGAUUCAUGUUUCCAAACAUGGUAAAAAUGUUUCUAUUUAUCCUGAUACUGGGAGUUCUCUGUUCAGGUUCAGCUACUGCGACAUGGCGGGGGAGAGCGACCUUGGCUGCCAUGUGAUGAUGACAAAUCCUUUGCUAUGCAUCAAAUGAGACCAAUUUCGGCCUCUCUUAUAUCUCAAUCUUCUAGUGGCGGUAACUCCAAAUGGGAUCGAGCUAUUCCAAUGGAUCUUGGACCGACAUUACAGUAUCCUCCACGUGCUGGUCAAGUUGUACCAUUUGGGCACCAAACUCCAUCAAAUAGGUUUAAAGAUACGAAUCCUGGUCCUUCUGCCAUAUCACGAACAGCUGCUGAUGAAGGAUCUAGGACUGGAAUUAAAGGGUCUGGAAUUUUGAGUUCUAUCAAUGCAACUGGAGGUGUUUCUGAGAGACAACCUUCGGGAGUGCUCAUACGUACUGAUAAACAGAAGUCCACUCUUCACAUUUCGGAGCCAGAAUUGUCUGCUACACCCAGGUCAAUUCAUGAUACAAGUGAUUUUUCUAAUUUUCUUACCUGAGCUAUCUGCGUGAUUGUCUGAAAGAUUUGAGUUUAAUUUGUCUUUUCUUAAUGACAGUCGACAAAGAAUAGAAUCGGCCAGUCGCCAAAUGACUAUAUUUUAUGGCGGUCAAGCCCAUGUUUUUGACAAAGUUCACCCCGAUAAGGUCUGCUUUCUGCACUUUUUUGAUCAACCGUUUGACUGAUACAUACCUGAUCAACUGCUUUUUGUACUAUUAACUUAAACAGAAGUAUUUUCAUGUUUAUUUGACCUGAUUAGUACGCGCAGAAAAAAUGCAUCCUUCAGUAUUCCCCGAUCCACUGUUAGAGAAUCUUUAUUAUCAAACGUAAUUUUUACUAUGCUUAUGAGUGUUAUGCUAAUUCUGGAAGUUAUUUGUAUUAUUACCUCGAAGUGGAGGUUGAAUGUCAUUAUCAAGGAAGCCUUUAGGGUUUAUGAUUCAAGGAGUUUGUGCUUUUUACUGUUGGAAUUUGGACAGGAAGGGUAGUGAAGAUCCAGAAGAACAUGUGUAUUGACGAAAGCUUACCUUAAUGGUAGCUGGAAGCCAAGAGACUUUGAUUAUGGUCACUGAGCUUAAGAUCUAAAGGACUAUUUAGAAAAUUUUCUUUGAAGUUUUCUUCAAAAAACUUCCUUAUGCUGUAGGACCCAGGGUUGUGGGGAGCAAGAAUGGUUUGCAACAAAUAGUCAAGUUUUCAAAAAUUAUUUUCUGUAUUGCUGUAAUCUCACUUUCAGCUUUUUGUUGUUUUAUGCUUGUACCUGUCUACUUUCUGAGCCCUUUCAUUUCGGCAGCUCUUUCGAUAAAUUGGCGUGGAAUGUGGGUGCAAGAGAUAGGAUUUCUUUGGGAGUAAGGUUGAUUAGUUUUUGCUCCCUUUCUUUUCUUAAAAACGUGCUAUGGAUUUUGUUUGUUCACCCUUCGCCCUUUCAUUUCGGCAGCUCUUUCGAUAAAUUGGGUGGUUGUGAUUGGUUUUGUAUGAAGUCAUUGAUGGAGAUAGUCAUGUAUGGGUUAAUUCCGAAUUACUUAGACUGAAAUUGCUAUAUAUGCACCGGCCUUUUAUGUCUUGAUUCCCCAUUGUUGAAUUGUCGAGAAUUUUAAUGCUUACUGGAUGGUACUUGAAGAUUAACUCGUGGUUUGAUAGUUUUUUGAUCAAUUAUGCUAGAAAGACAUGUUGGCAGUCAUUUGGAGGGGAUACCAUUUUAUCGAUCAAGAGGCGAGUUUCCAGGACCCGAUACAAGUAGGUUUGCAGGAACUAAACGAAGUAACUCUGACUCUUUUAUGGUGUCAUCAAAGGAGAAAUUUCCGCAAGUGCAACCAGAAUCACUUGAGAGCUCACAUUUGAUGAAGGUUCGUUCUGUUUCCUUCAUGGCAUGUUAUUUUAGAAUAGGUAAAGGGAUGAGGUCUUAUGCUGGUUUAAAUCUCAUUCCUGAAGUGCAUGUUUUGAAAAUAUUAGACUCCACUAAACAAUACAAUUUACAAGAUAUUAGCUUCUUUUUUUUCUUAUUAAUACAAUCUAGUGCUGUCUGAUUCAUGUUUCCAAACAUGGAAUCACUUGAGAGCUCACAUUUGAUGAAGGUUCGUUCUGUUUCCUUCAUGGCAUGUUAUUUUAGAAUAGGUAAAGGGAUGAGGUCUUAUGCUGGUUUAAAUCUCAUUCCUGAAGUGCAUGUUUUGAAAAUAUUAGACUCCACUAAACAAUACAAUUUACAAGAUAUUAGCUUCUUUUUUUUCUUAUUAAUACAAUCUAGUGCUGUCUGAUUCAUGUUUCCAAACAUGGUAAAAAUGUUUCUAUUUAUCCUGAUACUGGGAGUUCGCUGUUCAGGUUCAGCUACUGCGACAUGGCGGGGGAGAGCGACCUUGGCUGCCAUGUGAUGAUGACAAAUCCUUUGCUAUGCAUCAAAUGAGACCAAUUUCGGCCUCUCUUAUAUCUCAAUCUUCUAGUGGCGGUAACUCCAAAUGGGAUCGAGCUAUUCCAAUGGAUCUUGGACCGACAUUACAGUAUCCUCCACGUGCUGGUCAAGUUGUACCAUUUGGGCACCAAACUCCAUCAAAUAGGUUUAAAGAUACGAAUCCUGGUCCUUCUGCCAUAUCACGAACAGCUGCUGAUGAAGGAUCUAGGACUGGAAUUAAAGGGUCUGGAAUUUUGAGUUCUAUCAAUGCAACUGGAGGUGUUUCUGAGAGACAACCUUCGGGAGUGCUCAUACGUACUGAUAAACAGAAGUCCACUCUUCACAUUUCGGAGCCAGAAUUGUCUGCUACACCCAG
This 4890-nucleotide long non-coding RNA is filed under the name Olea europaea (common olive). RNAcentral's name for it is "long non-coding RNA (OEUR_LNC001672)". The record is from RNAcentral. Lineage: Eukaryota; Viridiplantae; Streptophyta; Magnoliopsida; Lamiales; Oleaceae.